AAGCUUUCAGGCAAAGAUGUUGUGUUUGACUAUCCAGGAACAGAGGCAUAAAUGUUGAGAGUUGGUAUUUUUUGCUUGUUUUUCCCAGCAUUAGUUGGCUAUUUAAAUUUUGAAAAUUGAGUCUCGACUUUUCAGGAGUUGAUUGUGGUGGAUUCAUUUUCUUAAUUGUGAUCAGGACUUAAUUUCAAGUACUUAAGUCUUAAUUACAUUUUUUUUUUUAAAAACAA
Molecule: unclassified non-coding RNA, 227 nt
Filed under: Hevea brasiliensis (rubber tree)
Lineage: Eukaryota; Viridiplantae; Streptophyta; Magnoliopsida; Malpighiales; Euphorbiaceae
Source: RNAcentral